Non-coding RNA from Triplophysa dalaica, 448 nucleotides. The record is from the annotation of a RefSeq genome assembly. Lineage: Eukaryota; Metazoa; Chordata; Actinopteri; Cypriniformes; Nemacheilidae.
UCUGCCCAAGGGAGGUUGUUGCACACUAACUCUCAGCCGACUCUAACGGUCCUGUCACCCUCCAGAGAUGAGUUGAAUCAGGGUAAAGCUACAGUCAUGUGUGUGGCCAGUAAGGGAUUCCCCUCUGACUGGAAGUUGAGCUGGAAGGUGGAUGGUAACAGCAGGAGCUCUGGUGUGAAUCUGAGUCCAGGUGUCCUGCAGAAGGAUGGACUGUACAGCUGGAGCAGCAGUCUGAGUCUCACUAACAGUGAAUGGAGUUCAGCGAAAACCAUCAGCUGUGAGGCCACACAGAGCUCUCAGAAUCCAGUCUCCAAAAUCCUCAACACACAGGAGUGUGACAUACAAUGAGAGCAGACACACAAACCGAAAGUUUUAAAUUAGUUUGCAGAAGCCUUCUUGCUUUUUAAAUGUUUGUAGUGCAUAUGACAGCAGGCUUGAACUAUUUGCU